This 75-nucleotide transfer RNA is filed under the name Archaeoglobales archaeon. Its description in RNAcentral is "tRNA-Glu". It matches the Rfam family "tRNA". From Rfam's summary of the family: Transfer RNA (tRNA) molecules are approximately 80 nucleotides in length. RNAcentral also lists the same sequence under 4 other names. Lineage: Archaea; Methanobacteriati; Methanobacteriota; Archaeoglobi; Archaeoglobales. The record is from RNAcentral.
GCUCCGGUGGUGUAGCCCGGUCAAACAUCCAGGCCUUUCGAGCCUGAGCCCCGGGUUCAAAUCCCGGCCGGAGCA